UACGAAGGGGGCUAGCGUUGCUCGGAAUCACUGGGCGUAAAGCGCACGUAGGCGGAUUUCUAAGUCAGGGGUGAAAUCCUGGAGCUCAACUCCAGAACUGCCUUUGAUACUGGCGGUCUCGAGUCCGGGAGAGGUGAGUGGAACUGCGAGUGUAGAGGUGAAAUUCGUAGAUAUUCGCAAGAACACCAGUGGCGAAGGCGGCUCACUGGCCCGGUACUGACGCUGAGGUGCGAAAGCGUGGGGAGCAAACAGG
RNAcentral lists this ribosomal RNA (253 nucleotides) under uncultured bacterium. RNAcentral's name for it is "partial 16S ribosomal RNA". It matches the Rfam family "Bacterial small subunit ribosomal RNA", at positions 524 to 776 of the family's 1533-position model. The record is from RNAcentral.